CUACGGGACGCUGCAGUGGGGAAUAUUGCACAAUGGAGGAAACUCUGAUGCAGCAACGCCGCGUGGAGGAUGACACUUUUCGGAGCGUAAACUCCUUUUAUAUAGGAAGAAGAUGACGGUACUAUAUGAAUAAGCGCCGGCUAACUCCGUGCCAGCAGCCGCGGUAAUAAAGAGGGCGCAAGCGUUACUCGGAAUCACUGGGCGUAAAGAGCGUGUAGGCGGAUUAAAAAGUCAGAAGUGAAAUCCUAUAGCUUAACUAUAGAACUGCUUCUGAAACUCUUAAUCUAGAAUAUGGGAGAGGUAGAUGGAAUUUCUGGUGUAGGGGUAAAAUCCGUAGAGAUCAGAAGGAAUACCGAUUGCGAAGGCGAUCUACUAGAACAUUAUUGACGCUGAGACGCGAAAGCGUGGGGAGCAAACAGGAUUAGAUACCCUCGUAGUC
RNAcentral lists this ribosomal RNA (439 nucleotides) under uncultured bacterium. RNAcentral describes it as "partial 16S ribosomal RNA". It matches the Rfam family "Bacterial small subunit ribosomal RNA", at positions 339 to 795 of the family's 1533-position model. The record is from RNAcentral.